RNAcentral lists this ribosomal RNA (232 nucleotides) under uncultured bacterium. RNAcentral's name for it is "partial 16S ribosomal RNA". It matches the Rfam family "Bacterial small subunit ribosomal RNA", at positions 118 to 350 of the family's 1533-position model. The record is from RNAcentral.
UGGGUGAUCUGCCCUGCACUUUGGGAUAAGCCUGGGAAACUGGGUCUAAUACCGAAUAUGAUCAUGCUCCUCAUGGGGUGUGGUGGAAAGCUUUUGCGGUGUGGGAUGGGCCCGCGGCCUAUCAGCUUGUUGGUGGGGUAAUGGCCUACCAAGGCGACGACGGGUAGCCGGCCUGAGAGGGUGUCCGGCCACACUGGGACUGAGAUACGGCCCAGACUCCGUACGGGAGGCA